GCGGGGAUAGCUCAGCUGGGAGAGCGUCAGACUGAAGUCCAACUUCAGGAACACUACCUGUAUAGGUAGAAUUCAUCAAUCUGAAGGCCGUGCGUUCGAUCCGCACUCACCGCA
Molecule: non-coding RNA, 114 nt
Organism: Hypoxylon sp. FL1150
Lineage: Eukaryota; Fungi; Ascomycota; Sordariomycetes; Xylariales; Hypoxylaceae
Source: the annotation of a GenBank genome assembly